UACAGAGGUCUCAAGCGUUGUUCGGAUUCAUUGGGCGUAAAGGGUGCGUAGGCGGCGCGGUAAGUCGGGUGUGAAAUCUCGGAGCUUAACUCCGAAACUGCAUUCGAUACUGCCGUGCUUGAGGACUGGAGAGGAGACUGGAAUUUACGGUGUAGCGGUGAAAUGCGUAGAUAUCGGAAGGAACACCAGUGGCGAAAGCGGCGCGCUGGACCUCUUCUGACGCUGAGGCGCGAAAGCCAGGGGAGCGAACGGG
This 253-nucleotide ribosomal RNA is filed under the name uncultured bacterium. RNAcentral describes it as "partial 16S ribosomal RNA". It matches the Rfam family "Bacterial small subunit ribosomal RNA", at positions 524 to 776 of the family's 1533-position model. The record is from RNAcentral.